Pelobates cultripes (western spadefoot toad) is the source of this 333-nucleotide non-coding RNA. The record is from the annotation of a GenBank genome assembly. NCBI's taxonomy places the organism in Eukaryota, Metazoa, Chordata, Amphibia, Anura, Pelobatidae.
UUUGCAUGAAUGUGUGUGACGGCCGGUGCAUGUGUUUUCUUAAAAGUUUAGCUUGACUGCCUAGCGGGCAGGGGAAGCAACGGCCGGUGAAGGGCUGGGGACCACCCGUGUAAGAGGGUUUGGGAUUUGUGACAGUGCUGGGACCACCUUGUGAGAUAGGGUUGGGGAAUUAUAGACAGCUGGUGAAGGGCUGGGACCACCCGGUGAGAUAGGGUUGGGGAAUUAUAGAUAGCCGGUGAAGGGCUGGGGACCACCCUGUAAGACAGGGUAGGGGUAUUGUGAACAGCCGGUGAAGGGCUGGGGAUAUUUGUGAAACACCUGUGUAGAAGUGAG